GUGGGGAAUAUUGGACAAUGGACCAAAAGUCUGAUCCAGCAAUUCUGUGUGCACGAUGACGUUUUUCGGAAUGUAAAGUGCUUUCAGUUGGGAAGAAAAAAAUGACGGUACCAACAGAAGAAGUGACGGCUAAAUACGUGCCAGCAGCCGCGGUAAUACGUAUGUCACAAGCGUUAUCCGGAUUUAUUGGGCGUAAAGCGCGUCUAGGUGGUUAUGUAAGUCUGAUGUGAAAAUGCAGGGCUCAACUCUGUAUUGCGUUGGAAACUGCAUGACUAGAGUACUGGAGAGGUAAGCGUAACUACAAGUGUAGAGGUGAAAUUCGUAGAUAUUUGUAGGAAUGCCGAUGGGGAAGCCAGCUUACUGGACAGAUACUGACGCUAAAGCGCGAAAGCGUGGGUAGCAAACAGGAUUAGAUACCCUUGUAGUCC
Molecule: ribosomal RNA, 428 nt
Filed under: uncultured bacterium
Lineage: Bacteria
Description: partial 16S ribosomal RNA
Rfam family: Bacterial small subunit ribosomal RNA
Source: RNAcentral